GCUCGGCUAGCUCAGUCGGUAGGGCAUGAGACUCUUAAUCUCAGGGUCGUGGGUUAGAGCCCCAUGUUGGGUG
This is a non-coding RNA of Danio rerio (zebrafish), 73 nucleotides long. The record is from Rfam. NCBI's taxonomy places the organism in Eukaryota, Metazoa, Chordata, Actinopteri, Cypriniformes, Danionidae.